AUGCCAUGGCGAUCUGGCUGCGUUGUCUUCUCUGCUUCUCUUGACUUCGUGCCACUCCUCAUAUUCCUCGAGUGGAUCUGCGAACCUUGUACCCCCUCCUCAUCCUCCAUCCAUGGUUGGUUUUAUCCGGCGAAUCUUGUAUGUUGCCCUGUGUUGCCGUGGUUCCUAGAUGUUUUGGAUGUUAUACAGUGGAUCCCUCUUGUAGUUGUCGAGGUGGAUCCCUCCUGGUUGGUUGUAGAUGCUGAACUCCUACUGUGUACCAUCCCUCCUGUAGUUGUCGCUACGGACCCCUCCUGUUUGGAUUGGGUUCAAAGGAUUCUUAGUGGAUUUACAAUUGUAAUUUUCAGUGGAUUUACAAUAUCGUGCCCCCAGUGGAAGCAUGAUCGAGCACUCCACGGAGGUGAUGCAGCUCGUUGUCCCCAACCCAUUGACGUGCUCACCUACCUCGCAUGGAAGAUAUCUGAGUUCCCCGCGUGCCGCGUGAUUGGCUUCGUCACCAACCUUCACUCCUCCAAGUUCAGAUUCCUCAUCGCCGAGAACCUCGGUGUCAAUGCGCAGGACGUGCAGUCGGAGUGGUGGGUGGAUAAUUGUUCCAGCGCCUUCCUUGGAGAUCUUCUCCCCAGUGGCCGAUUUAUUCUCUCUCCCCACAGAAGUGAAGGACCCUCCCCUACAUUGUCGUCUCCUUUUGGCCCUCCUCUUCUUAGUAGGCCAGCAAGUACACAUCUGCAUACUAAUCGUAGAAUUGUCAUGUCCCAUGAUCGGAUUGGAAGUGGAGGCGCGAACCAGGGGGACGAGGUCAAGUCUAUUAGCUUGGAUAGAUGUUGGCACUAUAUUAGUUUGAAGAGCUUGGGAAAUCAAAACAAGAAUGUUGCUUUUGCUACACUCUAA
This 888-nucleotide ribosomal RNA is filed under the name Triticum aestivum (bread wheat). Its description in RNAcentral is "partial small subunit ribosomal RNA". The record is from RNAcentral. Lineage: Eukaryota; Viridiplantae; Streptophyta; Magnoliopsida; Poales; Poaceae.